UACCUGGUUGAUCCUGCCAGUGGUCAUAUGCUUGUCUCAAAGAUUAAGCCAUGCAUGUCUAAGAACUGGCCCCUGUAACAGGCGAAUCCGCAAAUGGCUCAUUAAAUCAGUCAUAAUUUAUUGGAUAGCGAACAACCCUACUCGGAUAACUGUGGAAAAUCCAGAGCUAAUACGUGCAACCGAAACGCCGACUAGACUCGCAAGGGUCUUGGGAAGGCGUGCAAUUAUUAGAAUCGAACAGUGCGGCUUCGUGUCGUAUUCUUCGGUGACUCCGGAUAAUCUUAAGCCGAGCGCAAGGGCCUCUUGAGCGCCCGCGCCGUAUCCUGUAAGUGACUGCCUUAUCAGCUUUCGAUUGUAGGUUAAAUGCCUACAAUGGCGAUAACGGGUAACGGGGAAUCAGGGUUCGAUUCCGGAGAGGGAGCCUGAGAAACGGCUACCACAUCUAAGGAAGGCAGCAGGCGCGUAAAUUACCCAAUCCCGGCUCGGGGAGGUAGUGACGAAAAAUAACGAUGCGAGACUCAACCGAGGCCUCGCAAUCGGGAUGAGACGGACGUAAACGCUCCGUCGAGGACCUAGUGAAGGGCAAGUCUGGUGCCAGCAGCCGCGGUAAUUCCAGCUUCACUAGCGUAUACCAAUGUUGUUGCGGUUAAAAAGCUCGUAGUUGAAACUUUACGAAGGCAGGUAAGGAGGGGCGGUUGCGUAGGAAGUAUCUAUGGGGUUUCUUCUAGGAGCCGUCUUUCGCUUCUCUUGUGGGCUUCGUAUUGCGUCGUGCUCCUCGUGGGUGCGGCGUGGUGCGUUGUUCCUCGAAAGUGCGAGCGGUCAACCUCGGUCGAGCCCUUGUGCUUUCUUUCGUAGCUUACUCCCCUCCCCCUUUGCCCGAGUAAUACAACCCGUCGGUUUCAGGUGGGAUUGCGCUUCGCCGCGUGGCCCCGCUAACCGACAAUUUCACUUUGAUAAAAUUGGAGUGCUCCAAGCAGGUCCUACGAACCUGAACAGUGGUGCAUGGAAUGAAGGAAUAGGACCAGGAGUUGGUUUUAAUUCUUUUCGAGUUUGUUAACUCUUGGUAAUGAUUAAGAGGAACAGACGGAGGCAUCCGUAUUGCGACGCUAGAGGUGAAAUUCUUGGACCGUCGCAAGACGAACUAGUGCGAAAGCAUUUGCCGAGAAUGUUUUCAUUAAUCAAGAACGAAAGUUAGAGGAUCGAAGGCGAUCAGAUACCGCCCUAGUUCUAACCGUAAACGAUGCUAACUAGCGAUCCGCCGGCGUCAUUCCCACGACUCGGCGGGGAGCCCCCGAGAAAUCGUAAGUCUUCGAGUUCCGGGGGAAGUAGUGGUUGCAAAGCUGAAACUUAAAGGAAUUGACGGAAGGGCACCACCAGGAGUGGAGCCUGCGGCUUAAUUUGACUCAACACGGGGAACCUCACCAGGCCCGGACAUUGUUUGGACUGACAGAUUAAUAGCUCUUUCUCGAUUCAAUGGGUGGUGGUGCAUGGCCGUUCUUAGUUGGUGGAGCGAUCUGUCUGGUUGAUUCCGAUAACGAACGAGACUCCUACCUACUAACUAGAUGAGGUUGUAAUCCAUGUUGCAGGGCUUCGUAACGGCUUGCGUUUUUUUCCUUCAUGCUCGCAUGGGAUGGAAAGGCUUCACGGCCCGGUACUUUCGUGUGUGGUGUGUGGGGAGGAGCGCUUGUACGUGCGUUGAUCCAUAGCCAUCAUGUCUUCCUCUGAUGUAAUGAUCUUCUUAGAGGGAUAGGCGACGCGCCAAGUCGCACGAGAGAACGAGCAAUAACAGGUCUGUGAUGCCCUUAGAUGUUCUGGGCCGCACGCGCGCCACAAUGGACGUAUCAACGCGCUUUCGCAAUACCUUCUCCGAAAGGAGUGGGGAAUCGCUGAAACGCGUCCUCAGUUGGGAUUGGGGCUUGCAAUUGUUUCCCAUGAACCCGGAAUUCCCAGUAGACGCGAGUCACCAUCUCGCAUUGAUUAAGUCCCUGCCCUUUGUACACACCGCCCGUCGCUACUACCGAUGGGACGAUUCAGUGAGGUCGUUGGACUGGCGCCUUCGCCGUAACACGCUUAGGCUGACGGAAAGACGCCCGAACUCGAUCGUCUAGAGGAAGUAAAAAGUCGUAACAAGGUUUCCGUAGUGAACUGCGGAAGGAUCAUUA
Molecule: ribosomal RNA, 2162 nt
Filed under: Carpias nereus
Lineage: Eukaryota; Metazoa; Arthropoda; Malacostraca; Isopoda; Janiridae
Description: SSU rRNA
Rfam family: Eukaryotic small subunit ribosomal RNA
Source: RNAcentral